RNAcentral lists this ribosomal RNA (503 nucleotides) under uncultured bacterium. RNAcentral's name for it is "bacterial SSU rRNA". It matches the Rfam family "Bacterial small subunit ribosomal RNA", at positions 13 to 518 of the family's 1533-position model. The record is from RNAcentral.
CGGAUUCUGGCUCAGGAUGAACGCUGGCGGCGUGCUUAACACAUGCAAGUCGAACGAAGCAACUUGUCACGAUCCCUCGGGGUGACGACUUGUGACUGAGUGGCGGACGGGUGAGUAACGCGUGGGUAACCUACCUGUACAGGGGGAUAACAGUUGGAAACGACUGCUAAUACCGCAUAAGCGCACAACAUCGCAUGAUGCAGUGUGAAAAGUUUUUCGGUAUAAGAUGGACCCGCGUCUGAUUAGCUAGUUGGUGAGGUAACGGCCCACCAAGGCGACGAUCAGUAGCCGACCUGAGAGGGUGACCGGCCACAUUGGGACUGAGACACGGCCCAAACUCCUACGGGAGGCAGCAGUGGGGAAUAUUGCACAAUGGGCGAAAGCCUGAUGCAGCGACGCCGCCAUGAGCGAAGAAGUAUUUCGGUAUGUAAAGCUCUAUCAGCAGGGAAGAUAAUGACGGUACCUGACUAAGAAGCACCGGCUAAAUACGUGCCAGCAGCUGC